ACGUCCUGCAGGAGGACUCAUCUCAGAAAAGACCUUUACGAGGUUUCUUUUGUUUUCCUUGAAGAUAAUAAAGAGAAAUUCUUCCUUGUUGUCACUGAGAGUCCAAGGUUGUGCUUUGAAAUCUCAUGAUACUGGAUGUUGUGUACAAUCACUUGAUUUAAGAUGUGGUUGUGCAUUUUGAUCGGCCUCAACUUCAUCACAAAGGUGCUCGGGUUUUCAAGUGCUCCCUUCCCACAGUCGUGUGGGUCAAUGUUACCCAUGCAUGAUGACAGAGAUGGACAACGUUUUGCUCCUCAGAGCACUGAACCACCCUAUGUUAUAAGUUACGAACAAGGCAACAAGGAAGAGCCCAUCACAGUUAUUCUUAAAAGCAACAACUCCACAGUAUUCCUGGGGUUUAUGUUAGAGGCCCGGGAGAGAGGGAUGGUGGACGAAGGCCGCCCUGUUGGCAAAUUUAUAAGUCUUGAAUCUUAUGAGACUCAA
This is a non-coding RNA of Paralichthys olivaceus (Japanese flounder), 483 nucleotides long. The record is from RefSeq and is a predicted model, not a curated record. NCBI's taxonomy places the organism in Eukaryota, Metazoa, Chordata, Actinopteri, Pleuronectiformes, Paralichthyidae.